Long non-coding RNA from Mus musculus (house mouse), 564 nucleotides. RefSeq annotates it as predicted gene, 42377. Lineage: Eukaryota; Metazoa; Chordata; Mammalia; Rodentia; Muridae. The transcript has 3 exons. The record is from RefSeq and is a predicted model, not a curated record.
UCAAUUUCAUCAAUGGAUUAAGCCCAUUGGUGUAGUCAGUGCUGGGCGGGGCUGUUAGGGGGUAGGGUCUGAGAAAGUAGAUUUCCGGGGGUGUGGCUUGCCCCUGCAUCCUUCCUGUGACUGCUUCCUGACUUCACUGAUGUGAGCAGCCUUGUUUGUAUCACGUUUGUCAUGUUCUGCUGUGCCACAGACCCAUAGCAAGGUGGCGGCUGAGGACACCCGGUUAACCCCUCUGAAAUCCACUCUAAGGUCAAAGGCAUCGCAAACUGACUGAAGUGGCCGGCUCAGUUCAUCCUGCCUGCUCUAGUUUGAGGAGGAAGGAAGACCCAGACUCAGGAAGCUUGGACCCCCUCCCUGUGGCUGCACAAACAGCGACCAUUCUCUGGGGAAGAGCAGACUCUUCGAUGGAGCUGUCUACAAGUUGUACAGAAAGUCUAAGAAAGCAGUUUUCAUGUAUGACAUCACCUAUGCUGGACCUUUGGGUGAUGCAACUACUUUAGAGUCACCCUUGCUCAUAUAAGCACCCCUCAUUCUCCUGUAAGGAACUCCAAUAAAGUCACUACU